Fundulus heteroclitus (mummichog) is the source of this 129-nucleotide long non-coding RNA. RefSeq lists it as uncharacterized. The transcript is spliced from 2 exons. NCBI's taxonomy places the organism in Eukaryota, Metazoa, Chordata, Actinopteri, Cyprinodontiformes, Fundulidae. The record is from RefSeq and is a predicted model, not a curated record.
GCGCAACCAGCUACCGUAACACCUGUUAAAUGUAUCACUGUUAUAGCUCCGAAGGUCCAGAAAUUCAUGUGUGCUAUUGCGCAGCAACGCGGUGCAGUUUUGGAAGAGAAAGUCCGGUGAAAAAUAGAU